Molecule: ribosomal RNA, 492 nt
Filed under: uncultured bacterium
Lineage: Bacteria
Description: partial 16S ribosomal RNA
Rfam family: Bacterial small subunit ribosomal RNA
Source: RNAcentral
AGUGAACGCUGGCCGUAGGCCUAACACAUGCAAGUCGAACGGCAGCACAGUAAGAGCUUGCUCUUACGGGUGGCGAGUGGCGGACGGGUGAGGAAUACAUCGGAAUCUACUUUUUCGUGGGGGAUAACGUAGGGAAACUUACGCUAAUACCGCAUACGACCUACGGGUGAAAGCAGGGGAUCUUCGGACCUUGCGCGAUUGAAUGAGCCGAUGUCGGAUUAGCUAGUUGGCGGGGUAAAGGCCCACCAAGGCGACGAUCCGUAGCUGGUCUGAGAGGAUGAUCAGCCACACUGGAACUGAGACACGGUCCAGACUCCUACGGGAGGCAGCAGUGGGGAAUAUUGGACAAUGGGCGCAAGCCUGAUCCAGCCAUACCGCGUGGGUGAAGAAGGCCUUCGGGUUGUAAAGCCCUUUUGUUGGGAAAGAAAAGCAGCAGGUUAAUACCCCGCUGUUCUGACGGUACCCAAAGAAUAAGCACCGGCUAAAUUCGUG